This is a long non-coding RNA of Bos taurus (domestic cattle), 3063 nucleotides long. NCBI's taxonomy places the organism in Eukaryota, Metazoa, Chordata, Mammalia, Artiodactyla, Bovidae. The record is from Ensembl.
CAAUUAUAAAUGCCCAGAUGCUGAGAACUCAUUCCUCUGUGCGGUGUUAGUAUCUUAUGUUUUGUAAUAUUUUUGAUGGAAAUGAUCUACUGGGUAAAAACUGUAAGUAGGCCCUUCCAGGGUAAUGCGGUGGUGAGGUGUGGGGGCAGUGGGAGCAUUUUAUAGCACUUGGAGGUCUCAGUCUUUGAGUGAGGCUUCUCAUUUUCCAACUCUUUCCCUUUCAAUGAGAUAGGAUGCCUGGAGGCAGCUGGGGUUGCAAAUUUCCUCCGCCAUUCCCCAGGUCAAUUAAGCUAAACCCCAGCUAUUUAGCUUUCAGUUAAAUGGUUUCUCCUGUGCACAGACCUUGUUAAGGAAUGCUCUGGUGGGUGUUUUUCAAAAUGGAGUCUUUUCCCUUUCUUCUGCCAGAAGCACAAGGGGGGUCCAUGCUAAGCCUCCAGCAGUUCAUCAGCUACAGUUCCAAUUUCCCUGUCUGAUUCCUGCAGAGCUUCUGCUCCUGUUUUCCCAGCACCAUUUCUGAAAGAGACUGCUGCUGCUAAGUCACUUCAGUCGUGUCCGACUCUGUGCGACCCCAUAGACGGCAGCCCACCAGGAUCCCCCGUCCCUGGGAUUCUCCAGGCAAGAACACUGGAGUGGGUUGCCAUUUCCUUCUCCAAUGCAUGAAAGUGAAAAGUGAAAGUGAAGUUGCUCAGUCGUGUCCGACCCUCAGCGACACCAUGGACUGCAGCUUUCCAGGCUCCUCCGUCCAUGGGAUUUUCCAGGCAAGAGUACUGGAGUGAAAGAGACUACUAUAAUAUUAUAAAUCUAUUAUAUUGCCUUUGCUCCUUUGUCAAGGACCAGUUGACUGUACUUACAUGGGUGUGUUUCUGAUUUUUCUAUUCCCUUGGCCUAUUUUUUUUUGCCAAUACCACACUUUUUUUUUUAUUACUGUAACUUCUUGAAAUGCAAGUAUAAUGGAUACUGGAGUUUUGACAUCUCUCUGGGAUUAUGAAUUAAGUUUUAAGAUGCAAGCCAUAUUGAUAGAGCAAAAAGAAGAUCUUAUGAAAGAUGCUUAAAUAUACAUUCUCUCAGUACUUCCUAAACUUCAUUCAUUGCCUACUAGCAAAAUUUUUGCACCAGAACUAUCAUGGUGCUAUUUUUCUAUUUUAAAAAAACAAAUAGAGCAAAACAAAAUUCAACAAUGUGUAUGGAAACUGGGUAUAUGAAAAUCUUCACUAAUGGCACACAUCAUGUUUAUUCUUCACAUCUGAAGUUAUUCUAAAUGUUUCAUUUUUUAAGGUUUGAGUUAUUCAUAGGCAUAUCCAAAUUCUAUGCCUGCAAUUUGUGCUAUCUAAACUAGAUUCCCAUAGGUCCACCCACUUUAGCUCCAACUAACAUAAUAAUAACUAGCAUGUUUUACAUGUAAAACUGGCACUAUAUAUAUAUAUACAUACAUAUAUAUAUAUAUACACACUAUGAAUAAAACAGUUGAAAAUAUUCUCACAAAGUUAUCUCAAGUGUACAUAAGGUAACUAAAAAUUUCAAUCUACCUAGGUCUGGGGGAUUUCUAGGACAUAGAACUUUUGAUGCUAAAAUUGGAAUAGUUUCAGACAAACCAGGAUUGUUGGUCACACUACAAGUCUAUAAUAUAUUUAGGGAAACAUGGCAUUAUCUCAUAUAAUAUUCUAUCAGCUACCUAGUUAGAUAUAAUUAUCCCUCUUCUAAAGAUGAGAAUCCAGGUACAAUGUGUAUGUGGUAAUAUGGCCACUAUUAAAUACUGAUAUCUAGGUCUGGCUGGCUUUAAAAUAGCUGAGAAUAAACCAAUUCUCACUUAAUAUCUUACAGGAAAAUCAAUUUUGACAAUGUGUGUUACUCAAACUCUAGCAAGAAACUGUGGGGCUGUCCAGUCCCACCUUAGAUUCCUCUUAAAGGGUUUAGAACACCACAGAGAGCCUUGCGUGAGUUCAGGGACAUAGUCUUCUGGCCCACCAUAAGGAUGCCACCCUGUCUUCCCCCUUGCCCUGUGUUCCUUGUCCGUGUUGUCACUGUCGGCCACCUCACUUCGGCCCCCUUCUACUCUAGCCCUAUUCAAGUGGCCCUCUCUCAACUGCUGAGUGUUUUCAUCUUGCAGAUAUUUUAGUAAGAUAUGAUUUUAUUGUAAAACCUUCCCUAGCUGGGUUCUUUGUAGGAAAAUUUGGGAAGAUCAGAGCUAGAUGGUAAAAUAAACAGAAAUAUUCAUCUUGCUAUGGACUAAAUAUUUGUGUUUCCCCAAAUUCAAGUGUUGAAACAUAAAACCCAAUGUAUUGCUUUUAGGAGAUGGGGCCUUUGGGAGGCACUUUAGGUCAUGAGGGUGGAGCCUUCAUAAAAGAGAUGAAUGCCUUUAUGAAAGAGACCCUCAGAGAAAGCCUUGCCCCUUAUGCCAUGUGAGGUUAUAGUGAGAAGGCACCAUCUAUAAACCAGUAAGUGGGCUCUCACCAGACAGUGAAUCUGCUUGAGACUUGAUCUUGAGCUUCCCAACUUCUAGAACUGGGAGAUGUAAAUUUCUGUUGUUAAUAAGCCACCUAGUCUAUGGUAUUUGUUACAGCAGCCCAAACAAACCAAGACAACUUAAAUAUUUUCAGAAUAUUUCUUCCUCUUCUCAUUUUUCUUGAACGAGUAUCCUUUCAACUUUCUUGCCUAAAAUGAAGUCUGCCUUUCCUUCCAAGAUCUUUUUUCAUAUGCACAGACAUAUGGCAGAUCUGUUUCACUGGCUUUCCAGAUUUUGCCAGAUAAUGUGCUUUAGAUAACUUGAAAUGCUGCUGGUCCAAAUUGAGAUGUACUGGAAAUGUAAAAUACACAUAGGAUUUUUAAGAUUUAGUGUGAAAAAAAGUAAACUAAAAUAUUUCAUAUUGAUUAUGUGAUGAAAUUAUAAUCUUUUGUAUACUUUAGAUUAAAUUAAAAUAUAUCAAGUUUUCAUUUGUUUUUAUUUUUUUUUUAAUGUGGCUACAAGAUGUGUAAAAUGAAAUGCUCACAUUUCUGUUGGAUAAUUAACUCUACAGUAUCAUGAUGGCCUCACAUAGCUGGGAUUAAAGAAUAUGUUUAUCAGGA